AGGUGCGAUCAUACCAGCACUAAUGCGUCGGAUCCAAUCAGAACUCAACAUUUAAGCGUGCUUGGGCGAGAGUAUUACUAGGAUGGGUGACCUCCUUGGAAGUCCUCGUGUUGCACCUU
Molecule: ribosomal RNA, 119 nt
Filed under: Cicer arietinum (chickpea)
Lineage: Eukaryota; Viridiplantae; Streptophyta; Magnoliopsida; Fabales; Fabaceae
Source: RNAcentral